RNAcentral lists this ribosomal RNA (469 nucleotides) under uncultured bacterium. RNAcentral's name for it is "bacterial SSU rRNA". It matches the Rfam family "Bacterial small subunit ribosomal RNA", at positions 28 to 507 of the family's 1533-position model. The record is from RNAcentral.
GAUGAACGCUAGCUACAGGCUUAACACAUGCAAGUCGAGGGGCAUCACAGUGUAGCAAUACACGGGUGGCGACCGGCGCACGGGUGCGUAACACGUAUCCAAUCUGCCCGUUACUCGGGGAUAGCCUUCUGAAAGGAAGAUUAAUACCCGAUGGCAUGUAUUUCCGGCAUCGGAGAUACAUUAAAGAUUUAUCGGUAACGGAUGAGGAUGCGUACGAUUAGCUUGUUGGCGGGGUAACGGCCCACCAAGGCUACGAUCAGUAGCCGACCUGAGAGGGUAAUCGGCCACAUUGGAACUGAGACACGGUCCAAACUCCUACGGGAGGCAGCAGUGGGGAAUAUUGGGCAAUGGGGGGAAACCCUGACCCAGCAACGCCGCGUGAAGGAAGAAGGCCUUCAGGUUGUAAACUUCUUUAGCAGGGACGAAGGACGUGACGGUACCUGCAGAAAAAGCAACGGCUAACUACGUG